AAAAAUAAAUAAAUUAAAUAAAACAUUAAGGAAAGGAAAAAAUAUUUUUUGGUAUUUUUAUAAAUGAAUAAAGUAUUUUUAUUAAUUAAAAUGAAAACGGAAAUUAAAUGUGGAAUUUAGAAAAGAAAUGAAAAUAAAUAAACAAAAAGAAAUGAUGGGCCAGAUGGUGGUGCAGGUAGCAGUAUGAGCGCUAGGCCCAGCCCACGGAAUUGCCAACGUUACAUCUAAAAAUAAAAUAAAAA
RNAcentral lists this long non-coding RNA (242 nucleotides) under Lathyrus oleraceus (garden pea). Its description in RNAcentral is "Pisum sativum (pea) long non-coding RNA (PSAT_LNC001795)". Lineage: Eukaryota; Viridiplantae; Streptophyta; Magnoliopsida; Fabales; Fabaceae. The record is from RNAcentral.